AGAGUUUGAUCCUGGCUCAGGAUGAACGCUGGCGGCGUGCUUAACACAUGCAAGUCGAACGAAGCACUUUGAUCGAUUUCUUCGGAUUGAAAUUUUAGUGACUGAGUGGCGGACGGGUGAGUAACGCGUGGGUAACCUGCCUCACACAGGGGGAUAACAGUUGGAAACGGCUGCUAAUACCGCAUAAGCGCACAGUACCGCAUGGUACGGUGUGAAAAACUCCGGUGGUGUGAGAUGGACCCGCGUCUGAUUAGCUAGUUGGCAGGGCAACGGCCUACCAAGGCGACGAUCAGUAGCCGACCUGAGAGGGUGACCGGCCACAUUGGGACUGAGACACGGCCCAAACUCCUACGGGAGGCAGCAGUGGGGAAUAUUGCACAAUGGGGGGAACCCUGAUGCAGCGACGCCGCGUGAGCGAAGAAGUAUUUCGGUAUGUAAAGCUCUAUCAGCAGGGAAGAAGAAACGACGGUACCUGACUAAGAAGCACCGGCUAAAUACGUGCCAGCAGCCGCGGUAAUACGUAUGGUGCAAGCGUUAUCCGGAUUUACUGGGUGUAAAGGGAGCGCAGGCGGAAGGCUAAGUCUGAUGUGAAAGCCCGGGGCUCAACCCCGGUACUGCAUUGGAAACUGGUCAUCUAGAGUGUCGGAGGGGUAAGUGGAAUUCCUAGUGUAGCGGUGAAAUGCGUAGAUAUUAGGAGGAACACCAGUGGCGAAGGCGGCUUACUGGACGAUAACUGACGCUGAGGCUCGAAAGCGUGGGGAGCAAACAGGAUUAGAUACCCUGGUAGUCCACGCCGUAAACGAUGAAUACUAGGUGUCGGAAAGCAUGGCUUUUCGGUGCCGCCGCAAACGCAUUAAGUAUUCCACCUGGGGGAGUACGUUCCCCAAGAAUGAAACUCCAAAGGAAUUGACCGGGGACCCGCACAAACGGUGGAGCAAGGUGGGUUUAAUUCCAAACAACGCCGAAGAACCUUUCCAAGUUUUGAAUUCCCGGUGACCGACAAGAAAUUGUGGCCUUUUUUUCUGAACACCGGUGACAGGGGGGGCGGGGGUUGUCCCCACCUCCCGCCCCGGAGAAGUGUGGGUUAAAUCCCCCCACCAAGGGCGAACCCUUAUUCCCCCUAAGCCCCCAUUUUUGGAUGGGGCCCUCCUUAAGGAAAUUGCCCGGGAUACCCUGAGGAGAAAGGGGGGGGGUGAGGCGGCAAAAACCAAUCGGCCCUUUUAAAUUUGGGGUUACCCCCGGGCCCCAAUGGGGGUAAACAAAAGAGGAAAAAAACCCGGGAGGUGGGGGAGAUAUCCCAAAAAUAACGUCUCAGUUCGGACUGUAGUCUGCAACCCGACUACACGAAGCUGGAAUCGCUAGUAAUCGCAGAUCAGAAUGCUGCGGUGAAUACGUUCCCGGGUCUUGCACACACCGCCCGUC
This 1422-nucleotide ribosomal RNA is filed under the name uncultured bacterium. RNAcentral describes it as "partial 16S ribosomal RNA". It matches the Rfam family "Bacterial small subunit ribosomal RNA". The record is from RNAcentral.